This 514-nucleotide ribosomal RNA is filed under the name uncultured bacterium. Its description in RNAcentral is "partial 16S ribosomal RNA". It matches the Rfam family "Bacterial small subunit ribosomal RNA", at positions 28 to 523 of the family's 1533-position model. The record is from RNAcentral.
GAUGAACGCUGGCGGCGUGCCUAAUACAUGCAAGUCGAGCGCGAGAGUGAGGAGCUUGCUCCUCAUAAUCGAGCGGCGGACGGGUGAGUAACACGUAGGCAACCUACCCUUGAGAUUGGGAUAACUACCGGAAACGGUAGCUAAUACCGGAUACGACUUUUCCACACAAGUGGAAUGGUUAAAAGGCGGAUUUAUCUGCCGCUCAUGGAUGGGCCUGCGGUGCAUUAGCUAGUUGGUGAGGGAGUGGCUCACAAAGGCGACGAUGCAUAGCCGACCGGAGAGGGUGAUCGGCCACACUGGGACUGAGACACGGCCCAGACUCCUACGGGAGGCAGCAGUAGGGAAUCUUCCGCAAUGGACGCAAGUCUGACGGAGCAACGCCGCGUGAGUGAUGAAGGGUUUCGGCUCGUAAAACUCUGUUGUUAAGGAAGAACACUUGAGGUAGUAACUGGCCUUGAGAUGACGGUACUUAACCAGAAAGCCACGGCUAACUACGUGCCAGCAGCCGCCGCAG